This 301-nucleotide ribosomal RNA is filed under the name uncultured bacterium. Its description in RNAcentral is "partial 16S ribosomal RNA". It matches the Rfam family "Bacterial small subunit ribosomal RNA", at positions 509 to 807 of the family's 1533-position model. The record is from RNAcentral.
CAGUAGCCGCGGGAAUACAGAGGGUGCAAGCGUUAUCCGGAAUGAUUGGGCGUAAAGCGUCUGUAGGUGGCUUUUCAAGUCCGCCGUCAAAUCCCAGGGCUCAACCCUGGACAGGCGGUGGAAACUACCAAGCUGGAGUACGGUAGGGACAGAGGGAAUUUCCGGUGGAGCGGUGAAAUGCGUAGAUAUCGGAAGGAACACCUGUGGCGAAAGCGGCUCACUGGACCAUUUCUGACGCUGAUGCACGAAAGCUAGGGGAGCAAACAGGAUUAGAUACCCCUGUAGUCCCUGUCUCUUAUAC